This 253-nucleotide ribosomal RNA is filed under the name uncultured bacterium. RNAcentral's name for it is "partial 16S ribosomal RNA". It matches the Rfam family "Bacterial small subunit ribosomal RNA", at positions 524 to 776 of the family's 1533-position model. The record is from RNAcentral.
GACGAACCGCCCGAACGUUAUCCGGAAUGACUGGGCGUAAAGGGUGCGUAGGCGGUCUUAUAAGUCAGAUGUGAAAAUCCCGAGCUUAACUUGGGAACUGCAUUUGAAACUGUAUGACUUGAGUGCAGGAGAGGAAAGUGGAAUUCCUAGUGUAGCGGUGAAAUGCGUAGAUAUUAGGAGGAACACCAGUGGCGAAGGCGACUUUCUGGACUGUAACUGACGCUGAGGCACGAAAGCGUGGGGAGCGAACAGG